GUGCCAGCAGCCGCGGUAAUACGUAGGGUGCGAGCGUUGUCCGGAAUUAUUGGGCGUAAAGGGCUCGUAGGCGGUUUGUCACGUCGGGAGUGAAAACUCGGGGCUUAACCCCGAGCCUGCUUCCGAUACGGGCAGACUAGAGGUAUGCAGGGGAGAACGGAAUUCCUGGUGUAGCGGUGAAAUGCGCAGAUAUCGGGAGGAACAUCAGUGGCGAAGGCGGUUCUCUGGGCAUGUCCUGACGCUGAGGAGCGAAAGUGUGGGGAGCGAACAGGAUUAGAUACCCUGGUAGUCC
RNAcentral lists this ribosomal RNA (292 nucleotides) under uncultured bacterium. RNAcentral describes it as "partial 16S ribosomal RNA". It matches the Rfam family "Bacterial small subunit ribosomal RNA", at positions 505 to 796 of the family's 1533-position model. The record is from RNAcentral.